Molecule: ribosomal RNA, 423 nt
Filed under: uncultured bacterium
Lineage: Bacteria
Description: bacterial SSU rRNA
Rfam family: Bacterial small subunit ribosomal RNA
Source: RNAcentral
UAAGGAAUAUUGGUCAAUGGACGCAAGUCUGAACCAGCCAUGCCGCGUGAAGGAUGAAGGCCCUCUGGGUUGUAAACUUCUUUUAUCUGGGACGAAAAAAGGGGAUUCUUCCUCACUUGACGGUACCAGAGGAAUAAGCACCGGCUAACUCCGUGCCAGCAGCCGCGGUAAUACGGAGGGUGCAAGCGUUAUCCGGAUUUACUGGGUUUAAAGGGUGCGUAGGUGGGUAGAUAAGUCAGUGGUGAAAUCUUCGAGCUUAACUCGGAAACUGCCAUUGAUACUAUUUAUCUUGAAUGCUUUGGAGGUAAGCGGAAUAUGUCAUGUAGCGGUGAAAUGCUUAGAUAUGACAUAGAACACCAAUUGCGAAGGCAGCUUACUACACAGUUAUUGACACUGAGGCACGAAAGCGUGGGGAUCAAACAG